CUUCCAGACACAUCGGAACUUAUCUACACCUCUCAUCUUUGUUCACAGAUUACACUCCCAGAGAUGGAUCGGUUAGGAGAAAGAUGAUACCCACUCUUUUGGCAGCACUCGGCUGCUGGUUUGCUAAAGAGGGCGGAGAGGAUAAAACGAAGUCGAUGGCCCAGUUCUGCCUGACGGUCAACAAAUUCUAUCGCUGCUUCACAAUUUCCCUCUUUCAUCGUUUAUCAUUACUUCAAAUAUCUGGAUUUCAGCAGCUGACUAUAAACGAGUAAACAGUGAAGUUACAAAUUGUGAGUUUCCGUAUGGAUUGUUCAGCUAUGUCUUCGAGAAUAAACACAAACCGGAAACAAAUAUGUCGUCGUUAUAUCAUUUCAAGACAAAGCACUGACUAGAUAGGAAAGUAGACAGAUGUACAAAUGAGAUGUUCCCAUAUAAUUAUGUUUCAAAGAAUGGA
Long non-coding RNA from Zootermopsis nevadensis, 454 nucleotides. RefSeq lists it as uncharacterized. Lineage: Eukaryota; Metazoa; Arthropoda; Insecta; Blattodea; Termopsidae. The record is from RefSeq and is a predicted model, not a curated record.